Long non-coding RNA from Candoia aspera, 360 nucleotides. RefSeq lists it as uncharacterized. Lineage: Eukaryota; Metazoa; Chordata; Lepidosauria; Squamata; Candoiidae. The transcript has 3 exons. The record is from RefSeq and is a predicted model, not a curated record.
GCAGCAUUUAUCUAACUCUGAGGGCAUAUCUGCAAGGCUCAGAUAUGACAGACCUGGGAAAUCAUGUGAUAUACUUUCUCUAGGGAAACUGAAAAUACAGCUCAGGUUGCAACAGAACAGGGCAUACCAAAAAGGUCCAGGAGGGAGUCGAUUGGUGAUGGGAAAAGUCCUACAGUUAAACCUGCUACCUUACUGCCCCUGCAGUGCCAGGAAUGGUGGUUGUUUUUGCACCUGCUGAUCACCUGCUGAAGAAGAUGAUCAGCAAAUCUGAGGAUUCAACCAAUCAUAUUCCAUAUGAUGUAUUGGACACAUAUGAUCAGGACAGCACCGUUUAGCAGGGAAUCCAGCAAUUGAGGCAGG